CCUACGGGCGGCAGCAGUGGGGAAUAUUGCACAAUGGGGGAAACCCUGAUGCAGCGACGCCGCGUGAGUGAAGAAGUAAUUCGUUACGUAAAGCUCUAUCAGCAGGGAAGAAACACUGACCUUACGGUCAGCAGACGGUACCUGAGUAAGACGCCCCGGCUAACUACGUGCCAGCAGCCGCGGUAAUACGUAGGGGGCAAGCGUUAUCCGGAUGUACUGGGUGUAAAGGGAGCGUAGACGGUGCGCCAGGUCGGGAGUGAAAUGCCGCAGCUUAACUGUGGAACUGCUUUGGAAACUGGCGAACUAGAGUGCGGGAGGGGUAAGCGGAAUUCCUAGUGUAGCGGUGAAAUGCGUAGAUAUUAGGAGGAACACCGGUGGCGAAGGCGGCUUACUGGACCGUAACUGACGUUGAGGCUCGAAAGCGUGGGGAGCAAACAGGAUUAGAUACCCGAGUAGUC
RNAcentral lists this ribosomal RNA (458 nucleotides) under uncultured bacterium. RNAcentral describes it as "partial 16S ribosomal RNA". It matches the Rfam family "Bacterial small subunit ribosomal RNA", at positions 338 to 795 of the family's 1533-position model. The record is from RNAcentral.